CCAGCUGCAAGUACUUUUCCGUUUGCUACUGAGGAGAAACCCAACUGCCACGAAGGAUUUAUCAUCGAAUAGAUAUGUGAAAAACACCUUGAGGAUGAUUCUAAACAACGUUUGGCAUGUUUCUGUCGAUAUUAUGGAGUUCAUUUGGAAAAAAGUUUGGCGUUGUAGUGAAUUAAUUUUCGUUUUUUUUCUUAGCCAAAAGUGAUGAACAAAACGGAGCGAUUUCUACUACACAAAUAAUAUUUUUGGAAAAAAUGAACAUUUGCUAUCUAACUGAGAGUCUCCUCAUUGAAAACAUCCGAAGUUCUUCAAAGCUCCUUUGUCAGAAACAGCUUGAAUCACUCUGCCUCAGAGGGAAAUGGGAAGGGAAUUUGCACUCCAGACUGGGACUCAUCAAUGCAAACAGCAGGGCCAGGAGGGGUGAAAUGGCUGGUGGCCUUCCAGCUACCACAAACCUCCUGUACUUCAUCCACUGUGGGUCUGCCUCCAUCACCAACAGCAUCCUCAAAGGGACCUGGGAAUUCGUCAGUAGGCAAGGGGUCCUCAGAUUCAGGGUUAUCAAUGGUUGGGGGGCAGCUUCUCACUGUCACUGUCAGAGUCUGAUUACUGACCUUCAUUCUGUUCGAAUUUACAAAAACCUCCAUAAUUUCCACAUUCCUGAGUUGUCUCCUUUUGAAAGACAUUGCUAAUGCUACAGCUUAGCUCAGUAGCUACGUACAUAAACAACAACACUGAAUGGCUCAGAGUGGGAGUGAGAGGUUACGUGAUUGACUGCCGACACGCGCCAUUUAUAUCAAUAAAUCACUAUCAGAAAAUGGUUUGUGUGGUAAUUAUGUAUUUAUUUACUGUUUUAAUUACAUUUUCAAGUACUGGUGACAAAUCAUGCAUUCCUAUUCUUGCAUAGAUUGUAAUGGACAAAUAUUAUGUGUGUAAAUUCCUUUUUUUGAAGGUUGUACUGGCUAUGAUGAGCUAAUGCUAUGCUAAUUGCCAGCUAUGUGUGGAGCCAUGUUUGAAGACAAUAUACAAUGCAUUCUGGGUGUCACGUAAAUGUUUGUCAAACCAAAGAUGUUAUAACAAAAUGAUAUGAAGGGAUGGUUCACUCAUCUUUGGAGUAAACUUCCGGAAGUGAAUAAUGGUAGAUGACACACCCCCUUCAACAUGUAUACUGCAAACAGAUCAAACCCAUCUUGUCUCCUCUUCUUAUCUUUGUUUGAUGCGAAAAAACAAACAUGGCAGCACACACAAAUACCCACCGUCGGAUUACUUUAUGGUGAGCUCACCUUUGAUGGGAUGAAUUAUAAAUAGUAAUUGCUAUUAGCUAAUUCAUAUUGUGGUUUCUGUCAAUCUUUCCUCAGUUAAUGCUAGGACUACUGUAGCCUACAUUUUCCAGUUUGGAUGACCGUGUUAAUUUGUUGCUACUUCUGUGAAUGUCUGAACAUUGUGGCGGGCACUUGGGUUCCCUUUCUAAAGUGGCUUCGCUUUAUAUAGGGAGGAUGAAUUCAAAUAGGAGCUGAUGCAGAUUUAGGAAAUGUAUGCCUUUUUAACACUUUUUGAUUUAAACACUCAUUAUUUGGUGUUUACUUACCCUAUAAACUUGUGUAACGAGGUUUGCAGGUGGGGCUUCCUUGUGUGCACCGAAUAAAUCUAAUUCAAUCCCAGAAAACACUUCCCUGG
Long non-coding RNA from Oncorhynchus tshawytscha (Chinook salmon), 1674 nucleotides. The record is from Ensembl. NCBI's taxonomy places the organism in Eukaryota, Metazoa, Chordata, Actinopteri, Salmoniformes, Salmonidae.